AUUGAACGCUGGCGGAAUGCUUUACACAUGCAAGUCGAACGGCAGCACGGACUUCGGUCUGGUGGCGAGUGGCGAACGGGUGAGUAAUGUAUCGGAACGUGCCCAGUCGUGGGGGAUAACGUAGUGAAAAUUACGCUAAUACCGCAUACGAUCUAUGGAUGAAGGCGGGGGAUCGCAAGACCUCGCGCGAUUGGAGCGGCCGAUAUCAGAUUAGGUAGUUGGUGGGGUAAAGGCCCACCAAGCCAACGAUCUGGAGCUGGUCUGAGAGGACGACCAGCCACACUGGAGCUGAGACACGGUCCAGACUCCUACGGGAGGCAGCAGUGGGGAAUUUUGGACAAUGGGCGAAAGCCUGAUCCAGCCAUUCCGCGUGCAGGAUGAAGGCCCUCGGGUUGUAAACUGCUUUUGUACAGAACGAAAAGGUUUCUACUAAUACUAGGAGCUCAUGACGGUACUGUAAGAAUAAGCACCGGCUAACUACGUGCCAGCCGCCGCCGUAA
This 500-nucleotide ribosomal RNA is filed under the name uncultured bacterium. RNAcentral's name for it is "partial 16S ribosomal RNA". It matches the Rfam family "Bacterial small subunit ribosomal RNA", at positions 30 to 523 of the family's 1533-position model. The record is from RNAcentral.